AAACAUGACGUACCCUCAGUAUAAUGAGACCGUGGAACUACAAUUCCUGAAGACCAGCAAACAGGAUACGUUAAUCAAUCAAUUGCUGUGAUUAUCUUAACGUACACUGGGUCACUGAGUCUGAAUAUUGACCCAUCGUACGAAGCAACCACGGAUCAAACAAUCGACCUUUCACAAGUGCAAGUCUUCUCGUUUGACGACUCAGAUCUCCCUUAUUUAUACCUGUAUUUAUCAUCAAGCUUGGAUUAUGAGGUCAUCAACAAAUUCAGCCUACUCGUGACAAUAGAUGACAGUGAUGUCCCAGAAGUUACAUAUACUGUAACGUUCAACAUAACCAUAACAGAUGUGAAUGAUGAAGCACCUACGAUUUUAAAUCUUCCGUAUAACGUGACCCUGUCAAGAAACAAAAAGUCCGGUGAGUACAUCUACACUGUGAAUGCUACAGACAGCGAUGAAACGGCUGAGUUUAGGAUCAUAACGUAUAACAUAUCUU
Long non-coding RNA from Mercenaria mercenaria, 493 nucleotides. RefSeq lists it as uncharacterized. The record is from RefSeq and is a predicted model, not a curated record. Lineage: Eukaryota; Metazoa; Mollusca; Bivalvia; Venerida; Veneridae. The transcript is spliced from 4 exons.